UGAAAGCGUUUUUUUUGCACAUGUCUAUUUAAUGCAUUUCAGCGUAUUUGGUUUUAGCAUUUACGUAUUCAAGUUUAUAAUUAGCCUUAAGCUCCCGUAUAUAGCAGUUGAAUGCAUUUUUAGUAACCAUACUUUGCUCUGAUAGGUGUGUAGAAUAGUGCGAAAUUGAAGCUAUUGAAAGACGACAAUUCUUUUAGACUGGCUGACACAUAUUAUACACACCGUUAUUUUCAAUGUUCGGUUUAAAUAUUUUAUUUGGUCCAAGGCAGUAUUUCAACUUUUCGAUCUCAUUUUAGUAGUCAGUUUCAUAUUAAUCCAAAAUAGUCCUCUGUUUUGUUAAAAUGAAUUGCGGUGUAGAAACGGGGCGAGAUCUUCACACACAGUGUGAACAGAUUGCUCGGGAAAGAUGGAAAUCGAUAACCAAAUGCAAAAUAAGAAAGCAGAUUUGACAGGAUUAAAAUCAAUGACGCUUAAACAGCUACAGCUACCAUAACGGGACAUUGACCAAUUGGAGAACAUGGCUCUGCCCUAUAGUGACAUACAUACAUAUGUCGUUCCUGCAAACUAUACGGGUACAAGGGAACGGUCUUUCACUUUCUCUGUGAAUACCCAGCCCUAUCACAAAGCAGACAUAGAACACUUGUGAUCUAUCUAGCACCAAACCUUGAAUGGAUGUCCACAAAAAGUAUUACAGAAAUAAGCAGUUUCAUUGAAAGCACCAAAUGGUUUGACGAUAAAACGAGUAGUGCAUCAAAAUGGCGCUUCCCGUGUUAAUUGAGCUGAAACUGCACUCCUACCUACCUAUCUACAUUCACCUUCUUCUUGGUAUCGUUUUUCUUAAUAUUCGUGAUUCCAAUUAGUCCUUGAAAAUUAUAUAUGUAUAUAGUAAGCAUCCAAAAAUAUAUAUCAUAACCUGGCCAGUUGACUCUGUUUUCCACGCUUUGUAUUAGGUUUAUCUAUAUCAUUCAACCUGGAACACUGUAGACUCCGGGGUGAAAUAAUACUCAUAUGUUUUGUUCAUUCAUAUCGAUGAAAAAAUGUUGGUAGAAAGCCUUGCUCAGCGUCUUAUAUAUACAUAUGUAUGUAUAAGUUGUUUUUGUUGGUCGAUUAUUAACUCACUUUUUUCGCAGAGAUAAUAUUUAUGGAGUAUACUUCGAACGAAUUCAUUUGAGCUGAAGAUGAUUUGUUUCAGUUAUCUCAAUCAAUUUCAAGAUCACUUUGUGCAUAUUUUUGAUAAUUCUAUCAGUAACAACCGCCUUAGAGAGAGUUCGCAUACAUACAUAUGACUUAUAACUAAGCUUAUCGAUCAAAUCAGAGUUAGAUCGUCAUUUAACGUAUAACAUCUGGGUUAAUUCCGGAGACGUAGAAGCGAUUGUUGCGGGAAUUGGGCGUAUAUCGGUGUUCUUAUGGGCCGUCCGGGUUCAAAUUAUUGAAAUGUUGCUUCCUUUGGCAUGCAACACGGAUACCAAUGACUAAAGCUACUUCUUGGGGUUAACAGCAAAUAAUAAUAUUUUUUCGAAACAACAAAACAUCCGUUAACCCUAAUGAAAAAUAUACAUAUCUCAAGAGACAACUGCAUUUUUAUACUCUCGCAACAAAGUUGCUAAGAGAGUAUUAUAGUUUUGUUCACAUAACGGUUGUUUGUAACACCCAAAACUAAACGAGAUAUAUAUCAAAGUGAUCAGGGUGAAGAGUGGAGUUCAAAUCCGGAUGUUGGACCACUGCCACGCCCACAAAAUAUCGAAAACCGAAAACACAUAAAGUGCCAUAACUAAGCCAUAAAUAAAGCUAUGAAAAUAAAAUUUGGUACAAAGGAUCGCACUAUGAAGGGACAUAUUUGGAUGUAAUUUUUUUGGGAAAGUGGGCGUGGCCCCGCCCCUACUAAGUGUUUUGUACAUAUCUCGUAAACAACGAAACUUUCAGGAGUCGUUUUUUCAUGCAUUUUCUUAUACAGUCCAAAAAUGGAGGAAAUCGGAUUAUAACCACGCCCACCUCCCAUAAAAAAGUUGAAAACUACUAAAAAAGCUUGGAAAUCAGUAAGGGAAAACACCAGGAACCUUAAAUUUCUCUAUAAAGAAGGUACAGAAGGGCUCCACCCAAAUUGGUAUACAAAAUUUUAAGGUUCACAACUACGCCUACUUCGUAUAUACCAGAAUUUGAAGUCGGCUUGAAUAGUUUACUUUACAAUAUAUAAAUCAAGCACUAGUGAAGAUAUCGGAACAGAACUUUGCAGAAAUACUACAUUUAUAGUGUGGCAGCGCCUUUCUAAAAAUUGCCGAAAUCGAACCAUAAGUUUUCAAGGCCUCAUAUGUCGAGCAUGGGGACCUCGGUGCUUCUAAUCUAAUAUUAGGUUUUCCAACUUUCACUGGAUUUUAUACCAUAUAUAUGACGAAUAUGUGGGUCAAAUUGUGUGCUAUAUUAAUAAAGUUAAAUAAAUAAAUUGCGAGAGUAUAAAAUGUUCGGUCACAACCGAACUUAGCCCUUCCUUACUUGUGAAUGUUAAUAUUCUCCGAAAUUCCUAUAUUUUUUACAUGAUCUAAUUUGGUUUACUUUUAAAGUGGUUGCUAUAAUAUAAAAUCCUUUUCGGGCUGUCAAAAAUUUAGAUAUUUUAUCAAACAAUCUCUAAAACUAAAAUUAUUUAUUUCUGUACUCGUAUGUGAGAACUUUCGGUAAAGAACAAGUAUGUGCUAUGAGCAAUAAAUUAGCUUCUUCCAUAUUAUACUAAUGACUAAUCAGCGAAUAUUUAUUUCAUCAGCAUUAAAAAUAUAUUUAAUUAAAAUUGUUUUUAUUUUCGUAUAUAGUAUAUUAUAGCUUAUCUUUAAAGCUAAAACAUUUAUGUACAAGUAAUUCUUGAAUAAUUAAAAAUGCUAAUUGCGUAUUUAAAUGUCAGCUUUUGUUGAUAACAGCGUCUUUUAAUAAUACACGGAA
This is a long non-coding RNA of Zeugodacus cucurbitae (melon fly), 2928 nucleotides long. RefSeq lists it as uncharacterized. The transcript is spliced from 2 exons. Lineage: Eukaryota; Metazoa; Arthropoda; Insecta; Diptera; Tephritidae. The record is from RefSeq and is a predicted model, not a curated record.